RNAcentral lists this ribosomal RNA (252 nucleotides) under uncultured Bacteroidales bacterium. RNAcentral describes it as "partial 16S ribosomal RNA". It matches the Rfam family "Bacterial small subunit ribosomal RNA", at positions 524 to 776 of the family's 1533-position model. The record is from RNAcentral. Lineage: Bacteria; Pseudomonadati; Bacteroidota; Bacteroidia; Bacteroidales.
UACGGAGGAUGCGAGCGUUAUCCGGAUUUAUUGGGUUUAAAGGGUGCGCAGGCGGAGGUGCAAGUCAGUGGUCAAAUUGCGGGGCUCAACCCCGUACUGCCGUUGAAACUGCAUCCCUUGAGUGCGCGAGAAGUAUGCGGAAUGCGUGGUGUAGCGGUGAAAUGCAUAGAUAUCACGCAGAACUCCGAUUGCGAAGGCAGCUUACCAAGCUACUUCUGACGUUGAGGCACGAAAGCGUGGGGAGCAAACAGG